AGAGGUGGCAAGCGUUGUUCGGAUUUAUUGGGCGUAAAGGGUUCGUAGGCGGCCCGGAAAGUUGGAUGUGAAAUCCCAUGGCUUAACCAUGGAACUGCAUUCAAAACUCCCGGGCUAGUGGGCGAGAGGGGUAAAGGGAAUUCCCGGUGUAAGGGUGAAAUCUGCAGAGAUCGGGAAGAACACCAGUCGCGAAGGCGCUUUACUGGCUCGCUUCAGACGCUGAGGGACGAAAGCUAGGGGAGCAAACGGGAUUAGAUACCCCGGUAGUCCUGGCCCUAAACGAUGAAUGCUUGGUGUGACGGGUAUCGAUCCCUGUCGUGCCGAAGCUAACGCAUUAAGCAUUCCGCCUGGGGAGUACGGUCGCAAGAUUA
This 371-nucleotide ribosomal RNA is filed under the name uncultured bacterium. Its description in RNAcentral is "bacterial SSU rRNA". It matches the Rfam family "Bacterial small subunit ribosomal RNA", at positions 527 to 896 of the family's 1533-position model. The record is from RNAcentral.